Molecule: ribosomal RNA, 979 nt
Filed under: 'Leofa dispar' phytoplasma
Lineage: Bacteria; Bacillati; Mycoplasmatota; Mollicutes; Acholeplasmatales; Acholeplasmataceae
Description: bacterial SSU rRNA
Source: RNAcentral
CAUUAGUURGUKGGUUGGGUAARGGCCUACCAAGACUAUGAUGKGUGGCUGGACUGAGAGGUUGAACAGCCACAUUGGGACUGAGACACGGCCCAAACUCCUACGGGAGGCAGCAGUAGGGAAUUUUCGGCAAUGGAGGAAACUCUGACCGAGCAACGCCGCGUGAACGAUGAAGUAUUUCGGUAUGUAAAGUUCUUUUAUUGAAGAAGAAAAAAUAGUGGAAAAACUAUCUUGACGCUAUUCAAUGAAUAAGCCCCGGCAAACUAUGUGCCAGCAGCCGCGGUAAUACAUAGGGGGCGAGCGUUAUCCGGAAUUAUUGGGCGUAAAGGGUGCGUAGGCGGUUUAAUAAGUCUAUAGUUUAAUUUCAGUGCUUAACACUGUCCUGCUAUAGAAACUAUUAAACUGGAGUGAGAUAGAGGCAAGUGGAAUUCCAUGUGUAGCGGUAAAAUGCGUAAAUAUAUGGAGGAACACCAGAGGCGUAGGCGGCUUGCUGGGUCUUUACUGACGCUGAGGCACGAAAGCGUGGGGAGCAAACAGGAUUAGAUACCCUGGUAGUCCACGCCGUAAACGAUGAGUACUAAGUGUCGGGGUUACUCGGUACUGAAGUUAACACAUUAAGUACUCCGCCUGAGUAGUACGUACGCAAGUAUGAAACUUAAAGGAAUUGACGGGACUCCGCACAAGCGGUGGAUCAUGUUGUUUUAUUCGAAGAUACACGAAAAACCUUACCAGGUCUUGACAUACUCUGCAAAGCUAUAGCAAUAUAGUGGAGGUUAUCAGGGAUACAGGUGGUGCAUGGUUGUCGUCAGCUCGUGUCGUGAGAUGUUAGGUUAAGUCCUAAAACGAGCGCAACCCUUGUCACUAGUUGCCAGCAUGUUAUGAUGGGCACUUUAGUGAGACUGCCAAUGAAAAAUUGGAGGAAGGUGAGGAUCACGUCAAAUCAUCAUGCCCCUUAUGAUCUGGGCUACAANCGUGAUNC